RNAcentral lists this long non-coding RNA (214 nucleotides) under Elaeis guineensis (African oil palm). RNAcentral's name for it is "long non-coding RNA (EGUI_LNC027965)". The record is from RNAcentral. Lineage: Eukaryota; Viridiplantae; Streptophyta; Magnoliopsida; Arecales; Arecaceae.
CAUGUACCUAUCAUGUAUGUUGCAGAGAAGAGUAGUUUGCUCUCUGGAGAGCAGUGAGGGCACUAUUUAUCUGUCGGAUGGAUCGUACUGUGCGAUCAAAAAUAUUGAGACUAUCAGCUGAAGGACACAUGAUGGUAUAGUGAGAAGAUUGGGAGAGGUUCGAUACAUACCCAAUUUUAGGCAAAAUCUUAUCUCACUGAGCAAACUGGAUUGG